CAGCCGCCGCGGGAAUACGGAGGGCGCGAGCGUUACCCGGAUUUACUGGGCGUAAAGGGCGUGUAGGCGGCCUGGGGCGUCCCAUGUGAAAGGCCACGGCUCAACCGUGGAGGAGCGUGGGAUACGCUCAGGCUAGAGGGUGGGAGAGGGUGGUGGAAUUCCCGGAGUAGCGGUGAAAUGCGCAGAUACCGGGAGGAACGCCGAUGGCGAAGGCAGCCACCUGGUCCACUUCUGACGCUGAGGCGCGAAAGCGUGGGGAGCAAACCGGAUUAGAUACCCCUGUAGUCCCUGUCUCUUAUAU
RNAcentral lists this ribosomal RNA (301 nucleotides) under uncultured bacterium. RNAcentral describes it as "partial 16S ribosomal RNA". It matches the Rfam family "Bacterial small subunit ribosomal RNA", at positions 509 to 809 of the family's 1533-position model. The record is from RNAcentral.